GGCAACCCGCUAGGGUCCCCUUGCACCCUGUGGGAGCUUUUUCUUUAACUCUUUGCAAUAAAUCUUGCUACUACUCACUUUUUAGGUCCCCACUGCUUUUAUGAGCUGUAACACUUGCCGCCAAGGUCUGCAGCUUCACUCCUGAAGCCAGCGGGACCACGAGCCCACUGGGAGGAACGAACAACUCCAGAGGCCCUGCUUUAAGAGCUGUAACACUCCCCGCCAAGGUCUGCAGCUUCACUCCUGAGCCAGCGAGACCAUGAACCCACCAGAAGGAAGAAACUCCCAACACAUCCGAGCAUCAGAAGGAACAAACUCCAGACGCGCCACUUAAGAGCUGUAACACUCACUGCGAGGGUCCGUGGCUUCAUUUUUGAAGUCAGUGAGACCAAGAACCCACCAAUUCCGGACACACCGGCACUUUGGGAGGCUGAAGCAGGAGGAUCACGAGGUAAGGAGUUCGAGACCAGCCUGGCCAACACAGUGAAACCCUGUCUCUACUAAAAAUACAAAAAUUAGCUGGGCGUGGUGGUGGGUGCCUGUAAUCCCUGCUACUCAGGAGGCUGAGGCAGGAGAAUUGCUUGAACUUGGGAGGGGGAGGUUGCAGUGAGCCGAGAUCAUACCACCACACUCCUGCCUGGGCGACUGGGUGAGACUCCAUCUCAAAAAGAAAAAGGAAGGAAAAGAUAGUACUAAAUAUAGAUAAAGAAGUCACAAAAUAUGCAACCAGUUAGAUUAAACUCAUCAAAAGUAAACUGACGCAUAAAACUAUUUUUUAAAUCCCACCUAUUAAAUUGUGAAGUUAUAUGAUUGCCAUUAUCAUGGUAAACAGAAUUAUUAUUAACUGCAACACUUUAGAUCCCAGAGGUGGCAUAUGCUCUCAAUUUUACCAAUAAAAAAAUCUGCAAGUGUGGAAAUAAGUAGGUUUUUUCCUCCAAAGAUUAUUAAGUAUUU
Molecule: long non-coding RNA, 954 nt
Filed under: Homo sapiens (human)
Lineage: Eukaryota; Metazoa; Chordata; Mammalia; Primates; Hominidae
Description: HSALNT0315393
Source: RNAcentral